Molecule: ribosomal RNA, 301 nt
Filed under: uncultured bacterium
Lineage: Bacteria
Description: partial 16S ribosomal RNA
Rfam family: Bacterial small subunit ribosomal RNA
Source: RNAcentral
CAGCAGCCGCGGGAAUACGUAGGGUGCAAGCGUUAAUCGGAAUUACUGGGCGUAAAGCGUGCGCAGGCGGUUAUAUAAGACAGAUGUGAAAUCCCCGGGCUCAACCUGGGAACUGCAUUUGUGACUGUAUAGCUAGAGUACGGCAGAGGGGGAUGGAAUUCCGCGUGUAGCAGUGAAAUGCGUAGAUAUGCGGAGGAACACCGAUGGCGAAGGCAAUCCCCUGGGCCUGUACUGACGCUCAUGCACGAAAGCGUGGGGAGCAAACAGGAUUAGAUACCCGCGUAGUCCCUGUCUCUUAUAU